UGGGGAAUAUUGCACAAUGGGCGAAAGCCUGAUGCAGCGACGCCGCGUGCGGGAUGAAGGCCUUCGGGUUGUAAACCGCUUUCAGCAGGGACGAAAUUGACGGUACCUGCAGAAGAAGGCCCGGCCAACUACUUGCCAGCAGCCGCGGUAAUACGUAGGGGCCAAGCGUUGUCCGGAUUUAUUGGGCGUAAAGAGCUCGUAGGCGGUUCGGCAAGUCAGCUGUGAAAUCUCCACGCUCAACGUGGAGGGGUCAGCUGAUACGGCUGUGACUUGAGUCCGGUAGGGGAGUGUGGAAUUCCCGGUGUAGCGGUGAAAUGCGCAGAUAUCGGGAGGAACACCAGUAGCGAAGGCGGCACUCUGGGCCGGUACUGACGCUGAGGAGCGAAAGCGUGGGGAGCAAAC
RNAcentral lists this ribosomal RNA (402 nucleotides) under uncultured bacterium. Its description in RNAcentral is "bacterial SSU rRNA". It matches the Rfam family "Bacterial small subunit ribosomal RNA", at positions 355 to 773 of the family's 1533-position model. The record is from RNAcentral.